CAGUCGCCGCGGGAAUACAGAGGGUGCGAGCGUUAAUCGGAUUUACUGGGCGUAAAGCGUGCGUAGGCGGCUUCUUAAGUCGGAUGUGAAAUCCCUGAGCUUAACUUAGGAAUUGCAUUCGAUACUGGGAAGCUAGAGUAUGGGAGAGGAUGGUAGAAUUCCAGGUGUAGCGGUGAAAUGCGUAGAGAUCUGGAGGAAUACCGAUGGCGAAGGCAGCCAUCUGGCCUAACACUGACGCUGAGGUACGAAAGCAUGGGGAGCAAACAGGAUUAGAUACCCCCGUAGUCCCUGUCUCUUAUAC
This 301-nucleotide ribosomal RNA is filed under the name uncultured bacterium. RNAcentral's name for it is "partial 16S ribosomal RNA". It matches the Rfam family "Bacterial small subunit ribosomal RNA", at positions 509 to 807 of the family's 1533-position model. The record is from RNAcentral.